UCAGGGUUAGGGUUGGUGGAUACAGGCUCAGAGGACAGCUGGUGACCAGGGCAGCAGAGGCGAAGCUAUACUUUCAUCAAAGGCGCCUCUUCUGUGCAGCCCUCCGGGAUUAUCCUCCUAUCUCCUCCUAUCUCGGGUUGGCUGCACUCUGUCUGUCUGUGAGCUGACCCCUUAUCCCUUCACCAUACCGAGUAGUUGGUUGGGCAUGUCCUCAGAGCCACAAGGAAAGGUCCCCUCACUGGAGAACAGGGACUGUUCUUAACGACAUCUGCUUCUGUGUGGGAUGAUGGGGGGCCGAGAACUGGGAGAACAGAAGCAGCCAGACCCCCUCAGCUCCUGGGUGAUCCUGUACACAGGAUCCUGUGCAACUUUUCUUCACGCCACGGAUAUCAAAUCUGUCCCUCCUUCCGUGAGCAGCCACAGUUGUCAGCCUGGGCACCCUGGGACCCUGAUUCUCAUCACCGCCACUCCUGGUCACCACAAUUCCACACAUGAUGGCAGUCAAAUGUCUCCCCCCACCCAGAAGUGAGACUCAGAGUCUAACUGAAGAAGCCCAGGUGUUGAGGUUAUGUCUCUUGCUAUGAACUGUAAUGCUAAAUUUUGUACCUUAAGGUCUAUCUAGGCCUACGAGUGGUUUCUCAUACUUACCAGCUUUUGUUGUGCAAACCUUGUUCCUUAAUUUAAAACCACUGGUUAAAUACAAAUGGCUACAGCCAAUCACUGGAGGUAGGAGGGUUUUGGAGUUACCUGGGUGGCCGUGGAGAGCAGGGGGGAAGAGAAGACGCCAUGGGAUAAGGGAUUGUGAGACCUGGCCAUGAGGGCUGGCCACUGGGGUGCCGGGCGGGGAGCUCACCAAGUCGGGGAAGAACGCUACUGCCUUCCUCUUCUCCGUCUUGAAGAGCUGCGGGAUGUCGAUGAUGUCACCCUCCGCCAGGCCCAGCUCCCGCUUCAGUACCUCGCGGUUCCAGUCGAUACAGCUCUGGUAGGGAGGACAAGGGACCGCGCUGGAGAGAACCUACUGGUGUGGCUGAGGCAGGUGCUCACUCCUGCCUAGAUCCCACCCUCCAUGUCCCGCUCUUACUAGCUAACACUGAGUUAACCCUAGAUCAUACCAUCCUAGACCCAACUUUCGAGAAAGCAUUCCAUACAUGGUUGAAGAGUCACCUGUCCAAUAAUGUGUGUGCAGUACCCAUGCAGGCCAGAAGAGGGCAGCGGAUCCCCAGGCCAAAGGUUAAAGGAGGGUCUGGGCCUGUUUCAAUCUGACUGACCUUUUGUGAACUGCUGGUCCCAGAUGUCUGCCCUUGGCCCUGACUCCAGCUCCAUCCACAUCUCCCACCCACAACCCCCGCACCCCCUGGCCUUUGUA
Long non-coding RNA from Mus musculus (house mouse), 1366 nucleotides. RefSeq annotates it as predicted gene, 52482. The transcript has 3 exons. NCBI's taxonomy places the organism in Eukaryota, Metazoa, Chordata, Mammalia, Rodentia, Muridae. The record is from RefSeq and is a predicted model, not a curated record.